This 329-nucleotide ribosomal RNA is filed under the name uncultured cyanobacterium. RNAcentral describes it as "bacterial SSU rRNA". It matches the Rfam family "Bacterial small subunit ribosomal RNA", at positions 377 to 720 of the family's 1533-position model. The record is from RNAcentral. Lineage: Bacteria; Bacillati; Cyanobacteriota.
GAAAGCCUGACGGAGCAAUACCGCGUGAGGGAGGAAGGCUCUUGGGUCGUAAACCUCUUUUCUCAGGGAAGAACACAAUGACGGUACCUGAGGAAUAAGCAUCGGCUAACUCCGUGCCAGCAGCCGCGGUAAUACGGAGGAUGCAAGCGUUAUCCGGAAUGAUUGGGCGUAAAGCGUCCGCAGGUGGCUAUGUAAGUCUGCUGUUAAAGCGUCUAGCUCAACUAGAUAAGAGCAGUGGAAACUACAAGGCUAGAGUGCGUUCGGGGCAGAGGGAAUUCCUGGUGUAGCGGUGAAAUGCGUAGAGAUCAGGAAGAACACCGGUGGCGAAG